RNAcentral lists this long non-coding RNA (29395 nucleotides) under Chlamydomonas reinhardtii. RNAcentral's name for it is "long non-coding RNA (CREI_LNC000442)". The record is from RNAcentral. Lineage: Eukaryota; Viridiplantae; Chlorophyta; Chlorophyceae; Chlamydomonadales; Chlamydomonadaceae.
CCUCUAGGGCACCCACAGGUGGGCCAUGCAUUGCCACCUGCCAUACCUGCAUCAGCACCCCAACUCCUAGUCCCAGCCUGAUUAUACAAUGCACCAUGUGCCAACACUCCAUACAAAUGCUGGAAACACAAACAGCCAACUGCCCCACAGCCACCUGGACCCACAUAUCCCUCCCCCCCCCCCCGCCUCCUUAGGGGCACCCACAGGUGGGCCAUGCAUUGCCACCUGCCAUACCUGCAUCGGCACCCCAACUCCUAGUCCCAGCCUGAUUAUACAAUGCACCAUGUGCCAACACUCCAUACAAAUGCUGGAAACACAAACAGCCAACUGCCCCACAGCCACGUGGACCCACAUAUCCCUCCCCCCCCCGCCCGCCUCCUUAGGGGCACCAUCAGAUGGGCCAUGCAUUGCCACCUGCCAUACCUGCAUUGGCACCCCAACUCCUAGUCCCAGCCUGAUUAUUCAAUGCACCAUGUGCCAACACUCCAUACAAAUGCUGGAAACACAAACAGCCAACUGCCCCACAGCCACCUGGACCCACAUAUCCCUCCCCCCCCCGCCUCCUUAGGGGCACCCACAGGUGGGCCAUGCAUUGCCACCUGCCAUACCUGCAUCAGCACCCCAACUCCUAGUCCCAGCCUGAUUAUACAAUGCACCAUGUGCCAACACUCCAUACAAAUGCUGGAAACACAAACAGCCUACUGCCCCACAGCCACCUGGACCCACAUAUCCCUCCCCCCCCGCCUCCUUAGGGGCACCCACAGGUGGGCCAUGCAUUGCCACCUGCCAUACCUGCAUCGGCACCCCAACUCCUAGUCCCAGCCUGAUUAUUCAAUGCACCAUGUGCCAACACUCCAUACACAUGCUGGAAACACAAACAGCCAACUGCCCCACAGCCACCUGGACCCACAUAUCGCUCCUGCAUCCUUAUAAUGGGGCGGCUUGGUUUCUCAGGCAUUCUCUAAUGGUGGAGCGCCUAUCUUCAGCUCAGUUUCUGGGUCUCUCUCGUGGGGCGGCUUUGUGCUCAGGCGUUCUCUAAUGGUGGAGCGCCUCUCUUCAGCUCAAGUACUUGGCGUCUGCUUUAUCUGGCAGCCAGCCCCUUUCUUUGACAUGGGACGUUACAGGCAGGGGACCAGGCAACGACAAGGCGGGCAGCAAGCAACAGGCAGCAAGCAAAACCGCGCCCCUUAGACCACAGGAGGAGAAAGGACCCGCAAUGCAACCACACCAAACGGGAAGGGGAGCCAGGCACCUGCUNNNNNNNNNNNNNNNNNNNNNNNNNNNNNNNNNNNNNNNNNNNNNNNNNNNNNNNNNNNNNNNNNNNNNNNNNNNNNNNNNNNNNNNNNNNNNNNNNNNNGGCAGCGGCAAUGGACCAGGUAGGCGCAGUAAAGGCAGACCCAUUUUGGUACAGUGUGACACCGUACUCUUUUGCCAGGGUCAUCUGUUUCAGCGUCGUCAGGUGGUGUGACCUAUGGGCUGGGAGAAGGUGGGCCUGUGUGGAGCCAGCUAUGCUUGCCUGGCGCGGCAGAAGGGCUCGGGUUACUAUCCCAAGACGGCCCGAGUCAUUUAGGGCAAGGACCAGGGCCCGCUGGGCCACGCGCGCGUAUUGCGGCAGGAGGGAGCCCAGGCCCAAGCCGUAUUCGUCGGCGGGCAGGAGGGAGGUCCGGGUGGGGAAGCUGCGGGGGAGUCCGUAGCAGCGCUUUGCAUAACCAGCCAGGGUAGUGUCGAGCGUUGUUAUGUCCUGUUUUGUGAAGGGCAUUGCUGCGAAUCCAUAUGCAACUGUGGUGUGCACGCACUGUUGUAUCAUGCGCAGGCGUUGUGCCGGUGUCGCCAGGGAUGUGGCAAUGGCUGUGCCCUUGUCCUUAACAAUCUCGGUGACUCUUGCGACAUGUGCCGACCAGUCCAGCGAGAACGUGAGCUGCACUCCCAGGUACUUGUACGGCUGGGUCGGGGGGAAGUACGGGACAGGGGUCGUGCCAAUCUUAAUUGUGUUGGUCAUGUUGCGGCGCAUGGCGGCAAGGGUAGCUUUUCCUGUGGGCCCGUCAAGGUUGGGGUCCGAGCGAGAUUUGUCGUGCCAGAUGGCGGUGGUGGCACACUUGGUGUGAUUGACACGCAGGCUCGCCCACUCGGCGUAAGAUGCGAUUUUGUCACAUUGAACCUGCAGGUCGUCGAGCGAGUUGGUGAGCGCCGCCAGGUCGUCUGCGUACGCGGCGGCACUGCAAUGGUAUUGCAGGUUUUCGCUGGGGGUCAGGCAGCCGUAGUGGUAGCCCCGUCCACCCGCAUGGAGCCAGCGGACAAGAGGUUCCAUGAACAGAAUAAAGAGCACAGGUGAGAGUGUAUCACCUUGCACGGUGCCUCGCUCUAUAGGAAUGGCGGAUGUGCUUCCGUGUUCGGUGCGGAUGCGGGUGGUCGCAUGUGCAUACAGGUUGCGGACUGCGCGGAUCAGGUCCGUUGGCAGCCCAAGGUCAAACAUUAUUUGUAGUAAUCGGUCCUGGUCGAUUGUGUUAAACGCGGAGCUAUAGUCCACGUAUACCGCAUAGACAUCUUUUCCAAACAGUGCGGCAUCCUCAAGGGCAUGUACCAAAUUUAGGACCUGCCUUUCGGUGUUGCAGUAGGCACGGAAGCCUUCCUGCGCUUCACUGAAUAGCUGGAGGGGGCCAGCCAGUUCGCCAAUGCCCAAGGUAAGCAUGGACGUGUACAGCUUGUAGCAGGUAUUUGCGAGCGCAAUGGGCCGUUUGUUUUUUAUGUCCAGGGCGUCUCCAGGUUUGGGGAGUAGCACGGUCUCCGAUGCGGCCCAGGUUUCAGGUAUUUGUGACUUGACGUACAUGAUUUGCAGGAUACAGUGGAGGUUGCGCUUCAUGCCUGAUGGCAGGAUACGGAGCAGUUCGUUUGGUAUGCCGUCAGGGCCUGUCGCCUUGUUUCUGGAGAGGUGAGAAAUGCACUGCUCAAAAUUUGCCGUGUCUGCCAUGCUGGGGAGCAUGGAGUGUGUGUCAGGGUGCCGGUUGCGGUCCAGUGUGAAUUGAUCUGUUGCGUCGGCUUUCUCAAAUGGGUAGCCGCGUGUGGCGUUGCUGGGUAGUCGGAAGUCCCCAGUGCGGGUGCCGCGUGGUGGGGCGGACAGCUUUCGGAAGUGGGUUUCGAGUAUGGCGAGGAUGCUGGUGGAGUCAGUCGUCACCUCCCCAGUUUCUGGGUUCCGGACCGCUGGGAGACCCCGUUCCAUGUCUUCCUUCUGAAAGAUUCUCUUGUGCCCCUGUGCAGGGCGCGUGGCCAGGGUAUGUUGCAGCGCUGUGGCAGCGGCCUCUCGCUGGGCUUUGGCGCGGUCCGCCACUAGCUGGCGGUGCUCGGCCUGGCAGGCCUUUAUUUCGUUCCGCAGCUUUGCUGCCGCAUUGGCGGCGUCAACCUCAGGUAGGGCCUGGGGCCCUUGCGUGAGGUUUGUCAGUUGUGUCUUCAGGGCCACUUCCUUGUCCCAUAGGGGCUUUAGCACCCGUGCGGUGGAGCGUGAUGCGUGGUGUUUGCCAGUGAAGGGGGCUUUCCGGGUGCACUCUUCAAGGAGGCAUGUUAGCCCGGUGUCCAGUGCGGAGGCAAGUUGUUCUGCAAGUUGGUUGAUAUCGGCCUUCUGGAUGCUCGUGUCCUGCGCCAGGUCUCGGUGCAUGACGCUGGCGGGGUAGCCUGUGGGGUCCGUGCUGUGCCUUGUGAGUGCAUGUUCAAUUGAUUGCGUUGCCUGCCUUGUUGCGGAAUGCAGGUCGGCUGUUGCUUCCACCAAGGCUUCCUCCACUCGGGGAAAGCCGCUCAUCCGAAUCUGGUCCGAAGUUGGUCCGAAGAUCUGUCCGAAACCUGAUCCGAAGCCUGGUCCGAAAGACCAUCCGAAGCUGGUCCGAGUUCCUGUCCGAAAGACCCCACCCCUGUCCGAAGUUUUUGUCUCCGAAGCUGGUCCGAAGUCGGUCCGAAUCUGGUCCGAAUAGCAUCCGAAUUACAAGUAUUUCGGACACUUUUGUCGGAUGCCAAGAUUCGGACGCAAUGUUCGGACCAGACCGGCCAUCCGAAUGGCAAUUCGGACGCGCCCAGCCCCAUUUCGGACACGCCCAGCUGUUGAUUCGGACGCACCCAGCCCCAUUUCGGACAUGCCCAGGCGUCAAUUUGGACACGCCCAACACCAUUUCGGACGCCGCCACCACCCGCUGCUGCCCAGUGCCCCGCCUGCUGCGCUUUUGUGGUGUCUACAGACACCGUUGCAUGUCCUGUCAUGCCCUUGUCAUGUAGCAGCGGCUCCCCUGCCCUUGUUCAACCCUGUACACAUACCCUUUUUGCUUGCUCCUGGGUCCCUUUGGCUACCUCGUCGCGCUCCUCGGCCCUACACAUGCGCCUCCAUGUUUGCGCACAUAUCACCUGCAUACACAGCACCACCGGCGUUGCAAGAGGCAUGGUGACAAGCCUUUCCCCGAGAUACAUGCUGUAUCUCACAUGCUGUAUACAUGCCCUGUCCGUUGAGCUGCCCACUGCACACAUGUCUUGGUGCUCCUUUUCAUGUGGAUUGCAUCACGAAAUCUGACUUACCACCAAAACGCAAAAGCGCCAUUGCCAGCAGCACAUGCACCGAUGCCGAGACGAAGGUUGACAUGAGAAUAGGGCGGCCGGGGAAUUGCAAGCAGAUAUUUGCAUGCAUAAGCAAUUGCAAACUAUUAGGACCCCGUGCGAAAGCGCAGGCAGGGCAGACGAAUGGUUGUUGACCGCGACAGGAAAACACUGCUGUAGACGUUUUGAGCUGAUACAAUGCGAGUUCUCAGUCAAAAACUUACAUUCUUGGGCCGUGAGCCUGUUUGGCCUUGAAUUUCGUGCAGGUCGGCGAAGGUCAGCGACAAAUCCUCCACUUUGACCAAGUUUGUAGCACCUCCGCCAACCCCUCAGGCAUGCUCGCAAGCUUGUGUCUAACAUAGUUGCUAUGAAUAGCAUCGUGCAGUAUCAUAGAGGGUUUGAGAACGUGGAACACUGCAUGCCGAUAUCGCUUGCAACAGAGAUAGGCUGUAACAGGCUAGCGAUACAUUUAACAACUUGUUAGUAUUAAAUCUGUAGUGUAUAGUAUGAGUCUUAUAAGAGAGUCAUACUAUUAAGUUGAGAAGCUGAAUGUCGGGUCUCCCCAUGCAGCAGCGCUGCCCCAUUGCGCAUGCCAGCUCGCCUCCCUUCUGGUAAUGCCAUUGCUAGGACGCUUAAUCCAAUGUAUGCGGCUGCGUCGGAUGCGGGCAUGGGAUGCAUGUGCCUGCCGCGCAGAUGGGGCCACACAAGCAGGCCACGCCCAGAAACACACUUCCCCACAGCAUACGCACACAGGACACGCCCCGCUGGGCUGCCAGCUUGAAGACACGCACAGUUGGCCAUCGUGCUGUGUUAGGCCAAGCGAUGGGCGUUGGUUGCGUCGGAUGCGGGCAUGGAUGGGAUGCAUGUGCCUGCCGCUCAGGUGGGGCCACACAAGCAGGCCACGCCCGGAAACACAGUUUCCCACAGCGCACACACACAGAACACGCCCCGCUGGGCUGCCAGCUUGAAGACACGCACAGUUGGCCAUUGCGCUGUGUUGAGUCAAGCAUUGGGCGCUGGUUAUGUCCGAUGCGGGCAUGGGAUGCAUGUGCCUGCCGCGCAGAUGGGGCCACACAAGCAGGCCACGCCCAGAAACACACUUCCCCACAGCAUACGCACACAGGACACGCCCCGCUGGGCUGCCAGCUUGAAGACACGCACAGUUGGCCAUCGUGCUGUGUUAGGCCAAGCGAUGGGCGCUGGUUGCGUCGGAUGCGGGCAUGGAUGGGAUGCAUGUGCCUGCCGCUCAGGUGGGGCCACACAAGCAGGCCACGCCCAGAAACACUCUUCCCCACAGCAUACGCACACAGAACACACCCCGUUGGGCUGCCCGCGUGGAGACACACGCAGUUGGGCAUUGUGCUGUGUUGGGCCAAGUGACAAACAACAAGCACCCCGCCCACGCCCACAGCAUUGCCCUUGCUCACACCCUUGCACUUGCCCCUGCCCCUGUACACGCAAACGCGCACGCAUGCACGCAAGCACGCACGCACACACGCACACAGGUGCACACCCACGCGCACGCACACGCACACACGCCCGCACAAGCGUGCACACACACCCACAAAUGCACAAGCUCAUGCUCAUGUACGCACAUACGCGUGCGCGUCAAUACACACGCACCUCGUGUACACACGAGCACACGCAUACACAAGCCCACAUAUGCACACACACACACAUACUGUCCUACGCGUAAUGUUUUCCUUGUGCUCUUUAACACACACACACACACACAUGCGCACACACACACACACACACACACACACACACACACACACACACACACACACACACACACACACACGCCUUUGGCAGAAGGUACGCUGGGAAUGGUGACACUUUGAGACGCUGUGGCGGUUGGCCAUUGACGCAGUGCCGCUGCCGGGAAACUCGCAUACGCCGUUGGCUCGCCGUGAGCCAUGCGGCUGUGGGCAGCACGGCCAUGGGGGCGCCGCGGCGGAGGCACACGCCGCCGCCGCGCCCACGCCACGGCAGCACCACUUCUGGGAUUGCGCGGUGGCGAAGGCCGUUGUGGCGCAGAUUAACGCACACAACCCCGGUCCGGCUCCCAUCAGCCAAGCCCAGCUGUGGCUGGUCCAGGCGCCGCCGGGUUUUCAGCAGUGUGUUUGGGACAUGGUGGUGAUGGACACGCCUGCGAGUGGAUUGCCUCUUUAAUGUCUACUAUCAAUAGCUACUCGGCAUUAGGUGAGGUGUGAGCAUCAGGGGAUAAAGAAUUCGAGGUGUACGCGACGAACGGAAAACCCACCGGGGUCGAUGGGUUUUUUUCGUUUCGCACACAAGCCGUAUUCCUCAAUUCUUAUUGUCUGUACCACUUUAUAGAGCCAAACUGUAUUCGUUUGUCAUCAACAAUGCAUCCAACACCAGCCGCAGACUGUGCGAGGAGGGAUUGAUUUCGAACUUAGCUGGCAGACCUCACUAGAAUGACUGUCUUCUCCCGGUUCGGUUGCCUUGGGAACCCCACUCAAAUGCUACAUGAGCUUGGUCGGGCAGUGGAGCGUGCGCGGCAUUGGAAGUCCACUUUCAAGCGGCAAUUCUUCCUCGCGGCAGUUUCGCUGGGGAAGUGUGAGCCCGGCAGCCAGCUGGUGGUCUACAAGGAUGGCGUGGAGUACACCACACUCGGGGAAAGCCGCUCAUCCGAAUCUGGUCCGAAGUUGGUCCGAAGAUCUGUCCAAAACCUGAUCCGAAGCCUGGUCCGAAAGACCAUCCGAAGCUGGUCCGAGUUCCUGUCCGAAAGACCCCACCCCUGUCCGAAGUUUUUGUCUCCGAAGCUGGUCCGAAGUCGGUCCGAAUCUGGUCCGAAUAGCAUCCGAAUUACAAGUAUUUCGGACACUUUUGUCGGAUGCCAAGAUUCGGACGCAAUGUUCGGACCAGACCGGCCAUCCGAAUGGCAAUUCGGACGCGCCCAGCCCCAUUUCGGACACGCCCAGCUGUUGAUUCAGACGCGCCCAGCCCCAUUUUGGACACGCCCAGCUGUUGAUUCGGACGCACCCAGCCCCAUUUCGGACAUGCCCAAGCGUCAAUUUGGACACGCCCAACACCAUUUUGGACGCCACCACCACCCGCUGCUGCCCAGUGCCCCGCCUGCUGCGCUUUUGUGGUGUCUACAGACACCGUUGCAUGUCCUGUCAUGCCCUUGUCAUGUAGCAGCGGCUCCCCUGCCCUUGUUCAACCCUGUACACAUACCCUUUUUGCUUGCUCCUGGGUCCCUUUGGCUACCUCGUUGCGCUCCUCGGCCCCACACAUGCGCCUCCAUGUUUGCGCACAUCCCUAUGGCACCCAAAUGGUGGUAAGGAUCCAAAAACGGGGGUGACGAUCCCCGGACAGGGGGUAACGAUUGUUUCGGGCCCGCACGGCCUGGCACGCCCAGGACGCAAGCCAAGUGGUGCUGUGGUCACAUCUUAGCUACUUGUCAUGCAUACGCACAUUGCAGACUGGGCGGAGUGCCUUGCGUCUCCGACAAGUGAACAUGCCGACAUUCUAGUCUGCAAAGUGCGUAUUGUAGUGACAGUUUGUGUUAAAACAGUCUAUAAUGUGAAGCCUUAAACUUAUGUAGUCUUUGCGCUCGUGAACGAGGAAGUCUGGGGGCUGUAGGCCGACUGUGUGACAUUGUGACAGGGACCCUUGGGCGUGGUAACGACCCUAAGCCAGGGGUAACGGGGUUCCUGCAUGGGGUUCUCGCGGGCCUGACUUAACAAGCAGCAUAGAGCGGCCCCUGAUACUAAUACACAUAUACUGAUAUAGUACCAUACAUAUACUGAUACACUGCACUUCAUGCCGGUGCCGCUGCACUUCUGUUCCUCUCCCCCACUUUGCUCUCUCGCGCUUGCUACUUCUCUUUGUAACACAAAUUUAUGCUAGCUCAAAUGUCAGUAGAACAAGAGCUGGCGGCAGACGCUGCUUGGCUGGCUUGGGACGCGAGUCCUCACGCUGCUGACUGCUCGUUGACCGGCUUGGCAACGCUGCUCACACGUCAGCUGCAGCCAGCUAUUACUUGAGAGAAACGACUAUGCCUCAUAAUCUAUCAGCUGCGCUUCAAAUGUCCGACCGAGAAGUCUCGGCGGUCGCCGGCGUCAACAACGCCAUUCAACAUCGUGUUCUGUCAACAUCACCCUCGCCCCGCACGCCAGAGUCCGCAGGUUAGUCUGCAGGUUAGUCCGCAGGUUGAAUGACGAUGGGAUGCGUUGAACCUAGUGGUACCUCGCAAGCCAGUGUGCAUGGUUCAUCUUCUCGCGCUGUGUUGGGUUGUUUGGUGGAGCCCCCGCCUACAACUAGUGACUGUCUGCUGCCUCCCUUACCAGCGCUCGCUGUAAGGUGUUUUUAUGGCUCCCUUGCCACGGUGCCUUGUGUCUCACAUACCACCCCGCCCCCCUCCGCACGCACACACCCUGCCCCGCGACAGCUUGCUGCCCAACCCCUGUUGUACCCUAUGGACCGUAUGGUUGGCUGGACUGCCCCUACACCUCCAGCAUUGUGCUCAUCAACGGUGAGUGUCCGUGACACGUGUGGGCGCGCACACAUGCACAUGUGCACACAGACACGCCUUGUGUGGUAGGCCCCGUGCACUGCCAAGCACUCUGUCCAUGGCUGGCCUUGACAUGCAUUGGCACCUACCCGUCUUGUGGCAGACGAUUAACUGGGUGUGUCUAUGUGUGUGCACGCAUGCAUGCAGUCGCUGCCGGUGGAAGCAAAACUACAGGAGCCAGCGUGACACCAGCUGUCUGGCGCUAGAGAUGGAGGCGGGCGCGGCGGCGCCAGUGGCAUAGUUUGGCAUGGUAGCUGUGGUGGCGGCGGGCGUCAAGGUGGUGGGUCAGAGACGUUGUGCCCAGCAGACAUGCAAGUGGUUGCUGCCAGUGGCUAGUUGCACGUUCACAUGCAGACAUGACUAGGCGUAUUGUUGCAUGUACAUAUGGACUUGCGGUAGUGUUGCAUAAGUGUUGCAUGAGCAUCUGCACUUGUCGUGCUAUCAAGCCUUGACAGAUGGCUAGCAUGUGGAGUAGCGGUAGGACUACAUAGUUCUUACGUUAGUACUGAGGUAGGCCUUCAGCAAAGCACAAGGCUGCCAUGUAACGGGCGUCAAAGUGAUGGUUACUGGUGUGCCUUGUAGACCGUGACAAGGCUGUUACCAUGGCUGGUUAAGAUGGUAAGCAGAUCGUAGUGAGAUCGUAACGAUGCCGGAGGGGUAACGAUCUACGACCUAGGUAACAGCGAUCGUAACGAUCGUUUGGGUGCCAUAGGGCAUAUCACCUGCAUACACAGCACCACCGGCGUUGCAAGAGGCAUGGUGACAAGCCUUUCCCCGAGAUACAUGCUGUAUCUCACAUGCUGUAUACAUGCCCUGUCCGUUGAGCUGCCCACUGCACACAUGUCUUGGUGCUCCUUUUCAUGUGGAUUGCAUCACGAAAUCUGACUUACCACCAAAAUGCAAAAGCGCCAUUGCCAGCAGCACAUGCACCGAUGAGACGAAGGUUGACAUGAGAAUAAGGCGGCCGGGGAAUUGCAAGCAGAUAUUUGCAUGCAUAAGCAAUUGCAAACUAUUAGGACCCCGUGCGAAAGCGCAGGCAGGGCAGACGAAUGGUUGUUGACCGCGACAGGAAAACACUGCUGUAGACGUUUUGAGCUGAUACAAUGCGAGUUCUCAGUCAGAAACUUACAUUCUUGGGCCUUGAGCCUGUUUGGCCUUGAAUUUUGUGCAGGUCGGCGAAGGUCAGCGACAAAGGCCUCCACUUUGACCAAGUUUGUAGCACCUCCGCCAACCCCUCAGGCAUGCUCGCAAGCUUGUGUCUAACAUAGUUGCUAUGAAAUAGCAUCGUGCAGUAUCAUAGAGGGUUUGAGAACGUGGAACACUGCAUGCCGAUAUCGCUUGCAACAGAGAUAGGCUGUAACAGGCUAGCGAUACAUUUAACAACUUGUUAGUAUUAAAUCUGUAGUGUAUAGUAUGAGUCUUAUAAGAGAUCAUACUAUUAAGUUGAGAAGCUGAAUGUCGGGUCUCCCCAUGCAGCAGCGCUGCCCCAUUGCGCAUGCCAGCUCGCCUCCCUUCUGGUAAUGCCAUUGCUAGGACGCUUAAUCCAAUGUAUGCGGCUGCGUCGGAUGCGGGCAUGGGAUGCAUGUGCCUGCCGCUCAGAUGGGGCCACACAAGCAGGCCACGCCCGGAAACAAGGUUUCCCACAGUGCAUGCACACAGAACACACCCCGUUGGGCUGCCCGCGUGGAGACACACGCAGUUGGGCAUUGCGCUGUGUUGGGCCAAGCGAUGGGCGCUGGUUGCGUCGGAUGCGGGCAUGGGAUGCAUGUGCCUGCCGCGCAGAUGGGGCCACACAAGCAGGCCACGCCCGGAAACACAGUUUCCCACAGUGCACGCACACAGAAGACACCCCGUUGGGCUGCCCGCGUGGAGACACACGCAGUUGGGCAUUGCGCUGUGUUGGGCCAAGUGACAAACAACAAGCACACGCCCACGCCCACAGCCUUGCCCUUGCUCACACCCUUGCACUUGCCCCUGCCCCUGUACACGCAAACGCGCACGCAUGCACGCAAGCACGCAUGCACGCACGCACACAGGUGCACACCCACGCGCACGCACACGCACACGCGCCCGCACAAGCGUGCACACACACCCACAAAUGCACAAGCUCAUGCUCACGUACGCACAUACGCGCACCUCGUGUACACACGAGCACACGCAUACACAAGCCCACAUAUGCACACACACACACUGUCCUACACGUAAUGUUUUCCUUGUGCUCUUUAACACACACACACACACACACACACACACACAUGCGCACACACACACACACACACACACACACACACACACACACACACACACACACACACACACACACACACACACACACACACACACACACACACACACACACACGCCUUUGGCAGAAGGUACGCUGGGAACGGUGACACUUUGAGACGCUGUGGCGGUUGGCCAUUGACGCAGUGCCGCUGCCGGGAAACUCGCAUACGCCGUUGGCUCGCCGUGAGCCAUGCGGCUGUGGGCAGCACGGCCAUGGGGGCGCCGCGGCGGAGGCACACGCCGCCGCCGCGCCCACGCCAUGGCAGCACCACUUCUGGGAUUGCGCGGUGGCGAAGGCCGUUGUGGCGCAGAUCAACGCACGCAACCCCGGUCCGGCUCCCAUCAGCCAAGCCCAGCUGUGGCUGGUCCAGGCGCCGCCGGGUUUUCAGCAGUGUGUUUGGGACGUGGUGGUGAUGGACACGGCUGGGAGUGGAAUGCGUCUUUAAUGUCUACUAUCAAUAGCUACUCGGCAUUAGGUGAGGUGUGAGCAUCAGGGGAUAAAGAAUUCGAGGUGUACGCGACGAACGGAAAACCCACCGGGGUCGAUGGGUUUUUUUUCGUUUCGCACACAAGCCGUAUUCCUCAAUUCUUAUUGUCUGUACCACUUUAUAGAGCCAAACUGUAUUCGUUUGUCAUCAACAAUGCAUCCAACACCAGCCGCAGACUGUGCGAGGAGGGAUUGAUUUCGAACUUAGCUGGCAGACCUCACUAGAAUGACUGUCUUCUCCCGGUUCGGUUGCCUUGGGAACCCCACUCAAAUGCUACAUGAGCUUGGUCGGGCAGUGGAGCGUGCGCGGCAUUGGAAGUCCACUUUCAAGCGGCAAUUCUUCCUCGCGGCAGUUUCGCUGGGGAAGUGUGAGCCCGGCAGCCAGCUGGUGGUCUACAAGGAUGGCGUGGAGUACAUCGGCACCCUGCCCGCAACAGCAAAGCCGUUCCUGCUCUUCGGCACGACGUUUGUCCCCAGCAGGCCGCGGGGGGCGCCAGCGCCCGAGGUGGGCAGCAGAGGACACUGUGACCAGUCCAGCUGCAGACACUUAGGCACCCCCUUAAAUGUACUGCUGUUUACGCAGAACCCCCCCGUGCCAGUGACCUUGAUGGAGCUCACGGGGUCCAAGUCAAAGCCCGAGCGGGCAUGCGACUACGUGCGGGAGGGCGGCGCCCUGCUGGUGCAGGAAAUCAUGGCGGGGCAAGAGGGGUGGCUGCAGGCAGACCUGAGCGGCAAGGCAAGAAUGCUGCUGGAGAUUGCCGCACUGGAGGGCGCUCCCACACCGGGCACCCUCGCAGCAAACAACCCCACGUACAACUACGCGGUCCGCGCUUUUGAGGAUGCCGCACAGGUGCGAAAGGCUUCCCGGUGAUUACAGGUGCUGCCCAACUACGGCCAUGUUGUACUGCUCCUGACCCACGUCCUCCGAUAGAUUAUGAUGGCCACUCACACACUUAACCAUGCAGGAGCUGACCAACAAGGCCGUGGCGCAGCAGCUGGCAGAGGAGCGGGCACAGGCACAGCAGCUGGCAGAGGCGCAGGCGCAGGUGCAGCAGCUGGCAGAGGCGCGGGCGCAGGCGCAGCAGCUGGCAGAGGCGCAGGCGCAGGUGCAGCAGCUGGCAGAGGCGCAGGCGCAGGCGCAGCAGCUGGCAGAGGCGCAGGCGCAGGCGCCGGUGGUACAGGGGUGGUCACCCGAAGACCAACAGCCUGGCGGCUCGGCUGGGCCCGCGGAGUACGUGCCGGCUACAGAGCUCACUGAGGCGGGCAGUGAUGCCGGCACCGACACGACACAGGACACAAAGCAGCUCGGCGCCGCCAGUACCCGCACCAGCGAGCCGCCUGCACGUCGCGUACCUGCUUCUUUGACCCAGCAGCGUAUGGCUGGGGAGGUCAGCAACAGUGGCGCAAGUGGUGAACCACCGAGAUUUACCGUUGCAAGGUCAAGGAGGUGCCACCUGCCCUGCAGUGCGGCCUGGGCCUUGCCGCCGUGCGUCUGCCGGCAACGCUUACAAGGCUGAUCAACCCUCGCCUGAUCGCGGAGCUGGCGUCGCUGGCGGACAAACGCGGAGAGCAGAUCUUCCAGCGCAUCUCAGCACUGCAGGGCGUGCAGGCGGAGAUCCGGAUGAGCGUGGGGACGGGCCAGCGGGUUCAGGUGCUGUGGAAGGACCUCGCGGGCAGCGCUGGGCUCCUGGUGCUCUGCGACAAACUGCGACCGUUGCUGGAGGAGGUCGUGACAGCGGCAGACCCGAAGGGUGAGCUGGGGCUGCACCUGGAGGACGCCGUGCUGCUGGCGAACCUGCCCGGCACUCGUCCGGUUGCCGAGCAGGUGCCCCACUACGACAUGGCGCCAGGGGAGCCCGGGUGGUUCAUCAUGCUCGCCCUCCAGCCGGCAAGCCUGCUGGUGGCGCAGGCCAGUCAGCACGAGGUCCUGCUGUGGGGCCGCGCGUACACCGCAGCACAGGAGGCGGGCCGGACUGCAGCUGUGCUGAAGGACCUCUGCGCCAGCACCCCCCACCGGCGGCUGGUGCGCCUGCAGCUGCCGGUGGGCGAGUUGCUGUUCGUGCACUCCAACCUCGUGCAUGCAGGCGACGCCGGGCGACUGGAUGGCAGCUACUCCCUGCGGCUGCACUGGUUCGUGAAGAGUGCGAAAACAACGAACAACACCCACCUGCCGCGCCAGAUCCACGUGGAGCUCGAGAAGCGCUUUGUGUGAUGGCUCAGACACACUCAGGAUGAAGGGGCGGGGCGGGGCGGGGCGGGGCGGGGCGGGGCGGGGCGGGGCGGGGCGGGGCGGGGCGGGGCGGGGCGGGGCGGGGCGGGGCGGGGCGGGGCGGGGCGGGGCGGGGCGGGGCGGGGCGGGGCCGGGUGGCGGGGCGGCCACAUUGGGAAGGUGAAUAUGCUUGUCAAUUAGGUUGUGUGGGAAAUAGAACAGGUUCAUCAGUGUGGCGGCAAGACAAACCAAGUUGACACGCGCUGUCACUCGUCUGGGUUCUGUCUGUGUUGCACCCUAGCAUUCUUACGGCUUCGUCGUCAGGGUAAAAGCUUGUCCCCUUGACAUAUGAACAGUUUGUGUGGCGAGGUUGUCAUGACCAGGGACUGGAGCGAGAUUAGAGAUGGGCCAGGGCGGGCCCCCUGACACCUCAGCACUGUUUAGUCCAGAAGUUCCCGGUUCUAAUUAAGCCUACUUUUUGGUGGUAGUUGCGACAUCAUUAUCUGACACCGUGCGGAAGUGAAGGUGGGGGUGGGUGGGGGCAGCAGUUGUUUGUUUGCUGCAAUCGCACGUCCAUGGACGCAACUCUAAACUGCUGGUUCUACGGACUGAAACGUUUCAGUCCGUAGAACCAGUACUGUGUGAGAAUCAAGAAGCCACUAGCAAAGCUUAAAGUUACAGGAAUUACUAUGUUGGCGGGCGGCCCUCCUUUGGGCCGGCCAUCCGAAUCAAUCGGCCUGUCCGAAAUGGGCCGCCCAGGCCUCUGGGCUGGGCGCCCAGACUGCCCCUCCCAUCCGAACCUCCCGGUCUGAACUUUUCGGACCGGCUUCGGACCAGCUUCGGACCAGGUUCGGACGUCAAACCCCGGUUUCGGACGCCUUGGUUUUCCCCGAGUGAUAUGGCCACAAGCAAAGCGUCGUUGCAUGCACAAACCAUCUCAUCCCAGCCAGCCGCCGAAUGCAUGCGUGCAUCCCUGCUGCCAGCCUACCGUGGAUCAACUGCCUGCUAUCUAUCUAGUUGCGUGAGUCCGCCUACGACCGUACUGAUCCCCAUAAUGUACCACCACGCCUGCCCUGGCGACCUGGCUUGUCGCAGCUUGUCCCAGGCCUGAUUGGUGGUGCACGGGCAGCUCCAGGGCCAUUCUCCUGGAGGAUGUGGACUGUGAUGGAGACGACCUGCUGGACUCGGUGUGUUACGACCUGGCGGGCAAUCCAGGCAUCAUCGGCUCAGGGAUUGACUGCACGGACACCUGGCCCUCCGUGGCAGCCUCCUAUUGCCCGCCUGUUUUCAACGGUACGAACGCUAGCUAUGACGGGCACGCGCACGGGCAUAUGGCAAUGCAUAUAGAUGCACGUACGACCACCUGCACGCAAAUCCUAUACUGCCUAUAAUCAGAAUCUUUGCGCCUGAUAUGAGUGAUGCUUGCUCCUUUCCUGACCCGGCCUGCCCUUCCCCACCGCUUCUCAAUUAGGGCAGGGCACCAUCAGAUGGGCCACACAUUGCCACCUGCCAUACCUGCAUCAGCACCCCAACUCCUAGUCCCAGCCUGAUUAUACAAUGCACCAUGUGCCAACACUCCAUACAAACGCUGGAAACACAAACAGCCAACUGCCCCACAGCCACCUGGACCCACAUAUCCCUCCCCCCCCCCCGCCUCCUUAGGGGCACCAUCAGAUGGGCCACACAUUGCCACCUGCCAUACCUGCAUCAGCACCCCAACUCCUAGUCCCAGCCUGAUUAUACAAUGCACCAUGUGUCAGCACUCCAUACAAAUGCUGGAAACACAAACAGCCUACUGCCCCACAGCCACCUGGACCCACAUAUCCCUCCCCCCCCCGCCUCCUUUGGGGCACCAUCAGAUGGGCCAUGCAUUGCCACCUGCCAUACCUGCAUCAGCACCCCAACUCCUAGUCCCAGCCUGAUUAUACAAUGCACCAUGUGCCAACACUCCAUACAAAUGCUGGAAACACAAACAGCCAACUGCCCCACAGCCACGUGGACCCACAUAUCCCUCCCCCCCCCCCCUGCCUCCUUAGGGGCACCCACAGGUGGAUGGGCCACGCAUUGCCAUCUGCCAUACCUGCAUCAGCACCCCAACUCCUAGUCCCAGCCUGAUUAUUCAAUGCACCAUGUGCCAACACUCCAUACAAAUGCUGGAAACACAAACAGCCAACUGCCCCACAGCCACGUGGACCCACAUAUCCCUCUCCCCCCCCCCGCCUCCUUAGGGGCACCAUCAGAUGGGCCACACAUUGCCACCUGCCAUACCUGCAUUGGCACCCCAACUCCUAGUCCCAGCCUGAUUAUACAAUGCACCAUGUGCCAACACUCCAUACAAAUGCUGGAAACACAAACAGCCAACUGCCCCACAGCCACCUGGACCCACAUAUCCCUCCCCCCCCGCCUCCUUAGGGGCACCCACAGGUGGGCCACACAUUGCCACCUGCCAUACCUGCAUCGGCACCCCAACUCCUAGUCCCAGCCUGAUUAUUCAAUGCACCAUGUGCCAACACUCCAUACAAACGCUGGAAACACAAACAGCCUACUGCCCCACAGCCACCUGGUGUCACGCCAGGGCGUGGGACCGGACAUGGCGUGGGACCGUGCCGGGAAAGCUGUGAAACCCGGGGUCAGAACCAGUGCGGCUGUCGAGUUGUGAGUCAGCACGUUACUAAGCAGGCACAACUCCCGUGUGCCGAUUACCGUAGCAAUGCUCUGUUUGGCCCUAACUGCCCGUAAGAGCUUGUGUGUUUGAGUGAGCUGGGUUUGUGCUGCUAGGUUAUGCGGAGUGAGGAAGUUGCGUUAUCCGCCAGUCUGACGCGCGGAGGCGGGCGGAAUGAGGCGGAGACAGGUUUAUCCGCCCCGGUAGCUCAAGACAAGUCGUCUUGUCUUGAACUAUCUGGUACUACUUGCUGGUUAGUGAUUUCAGAGACAACGACCAUUCUACAAUACUCGUGGAUAGCACGAAGUGCACAGACAGAGCCGCCUCUGUAACUUUGAGGAGACAAGAACCGAGCACCCUUGAUACGCACAGUAGUCUACGCGCUUAAGAGAGCAGUAAGCCACGUAGCACUCAGUUCAAGACAAGACCGCGAGGCGCCGCGCGCCCGCAUCCUGCUCUCAUUUUGGUUUCUUGGCGGUCACACCGCGCGCAAGCACAAGUAAGCAUUCGGGUACUCUACCUGGAGAUUACCAAGCCAUUAGCCGGGGCCUCUCAGGCUCCGCGCUAGCGUUCAAGGAUUAGCUUCACCGGCCCGACGGGGUUGCGCUACAGCAAGCUACUUCCAGCCUCCCAGACGUCAUUGCACACCGGUUCUAUUGCUUAGGUGUUGCGAGACAUUCUUCAGUUCUGCUUGGGUGACGAGAGUUGCGGGCGAAUUGCUGCACGUUACGGAGCAAGCAUCGUGAUAGGCCAUCACGCCUGUUUGUUUCAGAGCUGCUGCAUAUUAACCAGCUUCCUACGCCACACCUUUUGACUUUCUUCGCAGUGGGCAGAGAGGACCGAGAAGCUGCUCCAGCUACGUCGUCUCACGACCGUCCCUCUGGCUCACGAACCGUCUCACGGGAACGCGUCACUUGGGACCCUCCCAAGCAUCUGCAGCAGGCACGAGGCCGCACCCUUGAACAGGAGCUCCGCGAGCGCAGCCGUGGCCGCAGUGACUCCGAGCGCAGGCGCAGCCGCAGCCCCAACCACAUCAAGAGCAGGCGCAGUCGCAGCCGCAGCCGCAGCCCUAACCCCGGCGCCGCGCGCCCAGGCGCCGCUGCAGCACCCGCACGCUCGCUGACCUCCAGCGAGCGCGCCGCCGUGCUUGCUCUGCUGGUCUCAACAGCUGCUCCCCAGCAGCCGCACCUUGUCGCAUCAGACCCCGACGCGAGGGUGCUUGACACCGACCCGUCCUUCCGGCCACUCCUGCAGCCGGCGGACGGCGAGAAGUGCCUGCGCCUCUGCAUCACGCUCUUGGACGGCGCUCCGCCCCUUGAGCUUGUGGAAGGCUGCCUCAUUCACGGUUGGCAGUCCAAGCACACCACAUCACAGUGCGACGUGCUCCGGCGCGCACGUGCUGCCUACCUAGAGUACGCAGCGUCGCGCCCCGCGGCGGCACCCCGGCGUUAGUCAGCUACAGCGUGCAGCCCGUGUGCAGCGGCUCAGCAGCCUACUGCCACGUCGUCUGCGCGCUACCUGCGGGCUCCGAGACCUCCCAGGUCCCCACACCCGAGCCAGUGCUACGUCUACGAGGCUACCGUACUACUAAGUGACUCUGAGUCACCGGCUUCCAGCAUUCCAAGAGUCCGAGACAUCACGAGCCUCUCAGGCUGGCGCAACGGGAGCUGCACAACCUUCUCCGUCUUCUGCCGCCGGUGCAUCCUGAGCCAAGACCUGACGAAGCAGCCGACCGGCCCGUAGGGGGCACGCGGUCGGGCACGCAGUAUUCAGGGAGUCGCCAGCCUUCACCAGCCAAGCAGUCGGCGGGCUCCAGGCAGCGCAGUCUUUCCGUUCCACGCCAGUCUCCGGCCAAGGCGACAGCUUCUGCGGAUCGCCAAGCCGGUAACAACAGCGGUGCAGGGCCCUCGGCCCCGCGCAUUAGACCAACAGUAGACAACAGCAGCGGCAGCCAGCGCGCCGGUUCACGCACCGACAGCCGGCACACUCAGUCUACCGGCCAGGCGCCUCCACCGCCUGUCGCCGCGCCGCUCUUACUUCAGGCAGCGCCCCCGCUCCCCGCGGCCGCGCCACCUCCGCCACCUGCACCCCUCGCGUUGCAGGUGCCACCGCAGGCACUCCCAGUGCCGCAGUUGGCUGUGCACACCUUCUCCGACUCAGACGACGAACGGAGCAUGAGCAAGCAGUUCAAACCCAUGGAUCCCUGGGAUCACCAUCAGGUGCCUCCGCUCGGCAAGCAGCUCAGAGAGGACCUGAACAGCGCGCGCAAGUACCACGGCAACUGCGCGUAUGAUGCGGUUCCGGCUGACGAGGCGCUGCGCCUCAUCGACGCCGGCCCCGACGUCAACACCCCGUACCACUUCUGGUGGUCCAAGGAGCGUCCCACGCUCCAGGCGCGCGCGCUUGCCCACCACCUUGCGGCCAACCCCGCGCCAGGCGGCCAGCAACCGCCGCCCCUGUGCGGCCACCACGUGCUGGACUUCUACAUCCAGCUCCUGCACGACCAUUUCGCCCUGGACCGCGCUAGCUACUACGAGGACCGCUACAACAGGCUGCAGCAGGAGGAUGAGCAGACGCCGUCUUCGCUGCUGGCUGAGAUGCGGCAGUGCGAGCCGCACCUGCACGCCAUGCCGCAGGACAAGUUCGCGAUGGACUUCCUGCGCAAGCUGCACCCUCGCAUUGUGACCAACGUCAGGAACCGCUGGGACAUCAUCCCCGUCACCAGCUGGUACGGCCGCCUCUCCGACAUCGCCAAGGACGCCGACGUGGUUUGGGACAACCACCGGCGCGAGGCUAGCUAUCAGAAGCGCAUCACCGCGGUCUCUGCAGCUGCCAGCGCGCCCUCGGCUAACCCGAGCACCUCGGCGCCAGCCGCGCGCAGCUCCAAGCCCUCGUCCAGCUCCAGCGGCCCCGCCGCGGCACCCAAGGCCUCGUCCAGCUACUACUGCCAGCACCACGGCGCCAACCGCUCGCACAACACGGAGAACUGCAACGUGCUGCAGAGCAAGCGGUCCACUGCGCUGGCCACCAGCUCCGGCCCGCCGCCCUCGCAGCAGCAGGAGCUGGCGCGCAUGUUCAACCAGUUCGCAGCUCAGUUUGGCUUCAACGGCUACUCGGCGGCGGCUACCAGCACUGCUGCUCCCGGUGCGGCGACCAAGUACCAGGCGGAGGCGGACCGGCGCGGCGCCCGCGGCCGCGGCUAUGGCGGCGGCAGCGGUGGUGGCGGCGGCGGUGACGCGGCCGCCCGCGCAGGAGACGUGGAGCGCUGUGACUACUGCCGGCUGUCUCACCCCGGCAUCUGCUACGUCAAGUACCCCCACCGUGCUCCGCAGAACUACCGGCCACGUGCGCAACACCUGCAGGACCUGUUCGCCUACAACCUCAGCAGGGCUCCCCUGCCUGACACCAAGGCCGGCAACGAGCAGGCGGGCGGCACCAAGCAGGCGGCUGGCAACGAGAAGAACGCCGCCGCGGCGGUGACCGGCUACGACGACGGCGAGGACGAGCUGUACUACGGCUACGUGACCGCCCUGGCGGACGAGAGCCCAGCAUCCAGCAGCAGCGCUUCGGCCUCCCAGGCCGCCGGUCGCCGCGGCUACUGGUUCCUCCACGGCGGUGACAACUGCGUUGCGUCCACCUGCAGCCAGCCCUGGGAUGAGCCCGACCUCGCCUGCCUCUCGGUGGCCUGCGCCGAGCUCAGCCCGGACUCCUGCGCAUGCGGCGCCCUCGUCACUGGCCUGUGCGACAAGCUGAUGAUGGAGUGCGAGGCUCCUGAGGGCGGCCCCGGGGGCUCCCAGCCCGCGCACGCCGCCGAGCCGCUGCUCGCGGCGAUGGCCACCCUCAAGCAGCAGCCGGCGCCGGUGGGCUUCCAGCCGGCUCCCGCCGGCACGCCGGCGGAGCCGCCGCAGCAGCUUCUGAGCCCGUCACUGGCGCCGCACAACCAGGUGGUUUCCUCCGCAGUCACGCUGCUGCAGGCCAAGGCUGACCGUCUUCAGAAGGACAUCAGCCAGAUGGUGAGCGAGUUGGCCGGCGAGACCCGCUACCAGCUCAUGAUGGUCGCGGCGGCCUCCCAGGCCGCUGAGCGUGCAAGUGACAAUCCGCCCGCGGCCACGUGCGCCACCUGCACGCGUGAGAUUGGCGUGCCUGUCAACUUCUGGACCGACACGCCCUGCAUGUACACGGUCGCCAACGCCCCCCUGGGCGGCGCGGCCGAGGGCUACAAGCUGUCACCAGACUUCCGCCCCAUCACCAGCGUGCCACCGGACGAGUUCACCCGCCAGCUUGAGGAGAAACCCGCACUGAAGGCCUACUUCGACAGCAACCCGGAGAUGUUCUACUGCAACGUCGGUGAUGUGGCUGUGGGCUUCGCGCGACCGCGCAACCAACCUCUGCACGCCCUGCCCCAGGUGCUGCGUGACCACAGCGCCAGCGUCAACAUCGUGACGUCGUCCUUCGUGCGCCUGCACCGUCUGCCGACUCGACCAACCACUUCCCGUCUGGCUACAGCUUCCAGCAGCUCUGAGCGACAGCAGCUGGAGCUGGUGCACGAGCAGCUGGUGGUGAGCAUCAAGCCUGGUUCGGCCUUCAACGUGCGCAUCCCCAUGACCAAGACCCUGGUCGUAGGAGACACACACCUGUUUGACGUGCUCCUGGGCAACGAGCAGAUGAAGCCGGUCGCCGACUAUGUCACCGUGCUGCCGAAGGCCAUGCUGCACUACUUCCCCAACGUGCUGGAGUUCCCCGACUGCAUCGUCAGCCUGCCACUGCACAGCGCCAACGGCGUGCGGGCGGCCCUGGCCUCCGUCGAGAACUAUGCAGCCUGCUGCACCAGCCUCUGCGACCCCGUCGCGAAGCUGGGGGGGGGAUGCAACUCUCCGACUGCGCUCGGCAACAGCACCAGCAGCAGCGGCACCGUGCCCGGCAUCGCCAGCAGCAGCACCGAUGUGCCCGCACCCUGCCAGGCGCCCAGCGGCACCGCGCCCAGCACCGCCGGCGGCACUGGCGUGAUCAGCGGCAGCGUGAGCGCAGACUGUGCGGCCUACCUUGACCGCCUCCUCGCAGCCCGCCUCGCCGCCGGGACGGAGCUCACACCAGCUGAGACGGAGGCACUGGAGCAGGCACUGAUUGCAGCAACGGGGAAAUCCUCCAGCAUUCACUGCGACCUGAAACCCCACAACUACCUGCUGGAUAAGCCGGUGCUGCCGACGCCCAAGCCCGCGGUGCUCAGCUGGCGCACGCGGGGCAGGCGCCGGGUGCGGUGGUACUGGCGGCAGUCCCUCGACCAGACCAGCACUGACGGCGACUCCCAGGCUACGCAGUCCCACUGCUCCAGCGGCGGCAUCAAGUCCGAGGCCCCACUGCACACCGCCAGCGCCCAGUCCGACGUCCAUCCGCCCACCGGCAUCUCCGACGUCCCUCCGCCCACCGGCAUCUCCGAGCCCAGCACCGUCAUCGGCAACGCUACUGCGGCUGAUGCCGCCCACGCCGCUGGCGGCAGCGCCAAGGCUCCCGCAGUGGGCUGGGCAUCCAAGGCCGCUUCGGCUCUGAGCCAGGCGGCCGUCAAGGGCAUGAGCUACCUGACUCUCCCUGGUCUCCAUGGCCGCCAGCGUCGGCGCCGUGGGAGGCACUUUCAGCGGAGCACCGGGUCUGCAGGCUCUCCAGCACCUGGAGGCCGUGCAGGCGGCGCUCAGCACCGCUCCACCACACCUUCGCGCGCGCUGGGACGCUGCGCACCAACCUCCGUCCUCAGUCAGCAGCGCGGGCCCCCCGGGCCUCUCGCACGUGCUGGCCAGCGUCGAGUCGUUCACCUUUGAUGGCAAGAUGGCGGCUGCCGCCUCCGAGCGCUACGAGAAGGACAAGGACGGCGGCUGGGUGUGGGGCAACGCUGUCGGCAUGACGCCUGAGCACGCCGCGCUACUACGGGCCACGGUGCGCACCCGCAAGUCCUCUGCCUUCGCCUACAGCAUGGAGGAGCUUCCCGGUUACUCUGGUGAGCUUGGCGCCUUCCGUCUGGACCUGACCACCGACAAGCCUGUCAUCCAGUCACCGCGCCGCUACAGCCCCAAGGAGGUCGAGGUCAUCAAGCAGAAGAGUGCUGAGCUUCUCAAGCCCGGCAUCUGUGUUGAGUGGACAGGCCCCACCCAGGUGGCCGUCAACCCUGUCAUCGCCGCCAAGCGGGACGAGGCCACCGGGCUCUGGACAGGAGCACGCAUGGCGCAAGACUACCGCCCAGUCAACAAGGUGACCAAGCCCGACAAGUACGGCCUACACCGCCCAGAAGACAUCUUCCAGAGCGUGGAGAAGGCGCGUUUCUUCAGCAAGCUCGACAUGCGUCAGGGUUUCCUUCAGAUCUCCAUUCACAAGGACGACUACGGCAAGACGGCGUUCUGGUGCGGCAAUCGUCUGCUCGCCUACACCCGCAUGCCCUACGGUCUCAAGAACGCGUCCGCCGCCUUUCAGCGCCGCAUGGACCACGAGCUGCGGCGUGCCGGCCUGGACAAGGUAGCUGUGGCCUUCAUUGACGACGUACUGAUUGCUACCGAGACCGCUGAGGAGCACGUCGAGGCAGUAGCAAGAGUGCUUGACACGCUCGCAGCGUGCGGGCUCCGAGCCCAUCCUGACAAGUCCAUCUUCGGCGCCGACGUUAUCGAGUACCUUGGCCACAACCUCUCCACCUUCGGCAUCUCGCCUCAUCAGGCCAAGGUCGCCGCAAUCUUGGCCCUCCAGCCGCCCAAGAACGUCUCGGAGCUUCGUACGCAGCUGGGCUUCAUCAACUACUACCGCUGCUACAUCCCGAACAUGAGUGAGAUCGCCGCGCCGCUGAAUGAGCUGCUCAAGAACGACGCGCGCUGGCGGUGGGGGCUGGAGCAGGAGGAAGCGCACCGCGCGCUAAAGGAGACCUUCAUGCGGCCCGAUGUCGUGUUGCGCCGCAUUGACUACAGCCGUCAACUCAUUCUCCACACCGACUUCUCCAACAAGGGCAUCGCCGCGGUCCUCGGCCAGCGCGAUGAUGAAGGUCGUGAGUACAUGUGCGCCUGCAUCUCCCGCUCCCUCAACAAGCACGAGGCCAACUACAGCUCCUACAAGGGCGAGAUGCUGGCGGUCGUGUGGGCGGUCAAGAUGCUACGCCAUCACCUUAUCGGCUCCGAUGUUCCCUUCAAGCUGGUGACUGACCAUCAGCCCCUCCUCUACCUCAUGAGCUCCGAGGGCCUCACAGGCCAAUAUGCCCGCUUCGCCCUCGUCCUGCAAGAGUACAACUUUGAGGUCGAGCACCGCCCCGGGAUCAAGCAUCAGAAUGCGGACGGGCUCUCGCGCAACCCUCGGCCCAGCACCGUGGACGGCUCUGGUGCCCGGCUUGACGAAGACGAUGACGACGGGCCGGCGACGCUACCGGCGGUGUCAACAAGUGAGGAGCCGCCAACCGCCGCUGCCGUGGCUGCCAGCCUCUCAGCUUGCGAGGUCGUCCACGUCGCCCUUGCAACCGCCGUCCCGCUGGCGCCCUUCUCUUCUGACUUCAUGCCCAGCACCGAGGAGGCCAUCUCCGGAUGGAACGGCUGGGGCUACGAGGCAGCCGCACCGCCGCCUGACGCUCCCGAUCGUCAGGGCAAGGCUGCCCGAGCAUUGCUGCGCAGCGCAGCACUCGAGUGGCGAGCGGCCAGCAAACUCCGGCGGCAAGGCAGUGGCUCACCCUCGGUGGCCCCCUCACCGUCGCCUGUGGCCGUCAGCGCCUCCGUGUGGUUCGACAACGCCCUCCGCCAAGGCGUCACGUUGUGGGAGCCUACCGGCGGUCUGGGUGGGGCCCUUGAUGCAGUCCUGCUCAACGGCAUUCCAGUCAGGCGCUACCACUACUCAGAUUCUUCACGUGAGGCGCGCUCCGCGCUUCACCACCGCCUCUCAGGCAUCACGGACCUGCGGCCGGAGCUAUUCCCUGCCUCCGCUUGGGACCAGACGCUUCUCUCUCUCCCGCAUGGUGCCUCGCACGUGGCGGAUGCGGACUUGCGGCUGCUGGGACAGGGCGGCGAGCCGAUUCUCAUUGCAGCUCAGUGGGAGUCAGGGGACGUCGUCACACAGGCUAACGUACUCAGCUUGGCGAGCCGCGCUCGUCAGCUGCUGGGCGAGCAGCGCGUAAUGCUGCUCUGCCACGUCUCCUGCACCAACACCAGCACCCCACCACCGGAGCAGCGUGCUGCCGAUGCGGCGGCCAAGGAGGCCUGGGGCCGCCCGCUCGUGUCAGACGCAGCGCGGUUCGGCUCUGGCUUCCAUCAGCUCUACCGCACGUGGACAACGCUAGCUGACCCCGCGGCCCUGCGUGACGUGGCGGAGUCAGCGACGCGCCCCGCCGCCUGUGAUGCGCAGUCCCUCUUGGGCGUCGGCCGGACCGUGCCCACCACUGCCAAGCCGCUGCGUCCUCCCUUCUACCCCUGCGACGUCGAAGGCAAGCCAGUGAAGGCGCUCAUGGCCUCCGCCGCCCGCGCCAACGUCAGCGCCGAGUCAGCCUCAGGCGCCUGCCCCAUCUUCGACGCCGAGUCAGGGCGCUACACACCUCCCACGGCUGAUGAGUGUGAGCGCCUGCUGGGCUUCGACGGACCUGUCACAUCGGCGACCGGACUCAGUGAGCAGCAGCGCAAGGCCCUGAUCGCAUCAGCGGCAAACGUCACGCAGCUGGCCAGCAUCAUCGCCAUCAGUCGCGUGCUGGCGGACGAGGUCAACGCUGGUACCCCCGCCAGUGCGGCAGCCCUGGUCACGUGGCGCACACCCGCCGGCGGCCUCGCCAUUCCUCUCACCCGGACCCCUCUGUCGGCCAAUGACACCAUCAUCGCAGCGCUCGCCUCCGCAGCCCUGGAGCCUGAGGCAGCUGCAGAGGCCGCCUCUCCUACGGACGCCUGGUCGGACGACGCCCUGCUGGACUAUCUUCGCACCGGUGCCGUCAACGCCAGCCUGCCCCAGGCUGAACAGCGACGCCUGCGGCGCCGUGCGGCCCGGUACCGCUGGCAAGGCGACCAGCUUCACAUCGUGGGGCUCGACGGCCGCCUGCGGCAGGUGCCGCGCCCUGCCGAGCGGGGUGAGCUGGUGCGGCGCAUGCAUGAGCAGGCAGGACACUUCGGCGUGCGCAGGACCUGCGCGCUCCUGCUGCAUUCACACUGGUGGCGCGGCAUCACGGACGAUGUGCGCAGCGCUGUCAAGCACUGCGAGGCCUGCGACCGCGUCAAGGCCUCCUACUCCAGCCGCCAGUCCGAGCUACACCCAUUGCCCAUCGGAGGACUUUUCUACCGCUGGGGCGUAGAUCUGUGCGGCCCCUUCAACCAGACUCAGCAUGGCAACCGCUACGUGAUGGUCUGCGUGGAGCACUUCAGCAAGUUUGUGCUCCUGGUGCCCAUACCGUCCAAGCACGCCCACGUCACUGCCCUCGCCUUCAAGCAACACGUGCUGGGCGUCUACGGUUCCUGCGCCGAGGUUUGCACAGACCAAGGCAGCGAGUGGAAGGGCGAGUUCGCCACAGUGCUUCUCGACGCUCUCAUCGACCAUCGCCAGACCUCUGCUGAUCAUCCCCAAGCCAACGGUCUCACCGAGAGGGCUGUGCAGACCUGCAAGAAGGCGCUCACCAAGCUGGCGCUCGGCGCCGGCGCUGUGACCGACUGGGACCAACACCUGCCGUCCAUUCAACUUGGCUACAACUGCUCCGCGCAGUACUCCACCAAGCUCAGCCCGUACACCCUCGUCUUUGCCAACGACCCCGUCGUCCCUCCUGCGGUGAGGCCUCGCUUUGACCAGGACCUGGACUUGGAUGACCCCGAGGCAGCGGCACGCUCCGUGCUGCUGCGCGCCGCCGCCCUGCGGCGGCACAUGGCCAUCGCCGGCGGCAACCUGGCAGUGGCGCAGCACCGUGACAAGCUGCGCUACGCCCGGAUGCGCGGCGGCGGCUACGACCCCAAGAUCCGCAAGCUGGAGGUGGGCGACUACGUCUACUAUCGAAACACCAGCGAGCGCACCGCACUGGAAGCCCAGUCGCGGCCUGACAUCCUUCGCGUGUGUGACCUGCGUCAGUCGGGAGUGGUGGUGCUCGAGGGCCGCUGCGGCACGCAGAUCACCACUCACGUCACGCACGUGGCACCCUGCCACCUGCCCAUUGCUGACACCGACACGGAUCCUCGCCUGGCACGCCCGUCUAUCACCCUGUCCUGCGAAGUCUGCAAGAUGCCCGACAACGAGGAGUGGAUGCUGCUGUGCGACGCCUGCGGCACGGGCUGGCACACGUUCUGCCUCAGCCCGCCUUUGGAGGGCAUCCCCGAGGGCUCAUGGGUCUGCCCUACCUGCAGCAGCAAGGGCGUCUCCGCGGACAGCCUUCGCCAGGAGCAGACGCAGCGGCGUGCGGCCACCGCGGUGCCCGCCAAGUUCCAGAAGCUGCAGGGAGCGCUCGCCAUGCGGGCAGCCAAGGGUCGCCGCGCGCGCAGUGCGGCCAACUCAGGCGUGGUCAGCUACGCAGGGCAGCGACGGCGUGUGCACCAGUUCCUUAUUGAGUAUCCCGACGGCAGCAGCGAAGUGGUCACCCACACGCAGCUGCGUCCCCGUCUCGUCUCCCAGCCCAGCUCAGCACUGGCCUCAGCCGUCAGUGCGGCCCCGGCGCUGCCAGCGCUCGUAGGCAACGCGUGGCCCGGGCGGGUCAGCUGCCCCGCGUCCACUGCUUCAGAGCUGGCGGCACUUUCCCAGGUGAUCAACAUUGAGCAUGCCUCGGCUAUCUACGCGCCCUGGAACGUGCCUGACGCGACCGCGGCCUGGCUGCGGGCGCACGGCUGCCACCUGCGGCGCGGCAAGCCUACUCAGGGAGCUGCGGCGGCGUCAGCGGAGUGUCUGCAGCGUGCCAGCGAUGACGGUGUGAAAAUGAAUGUGCUGUGGUGCGAGGCCGAGCCAUUAGUUGUAGAUGCGUGCCUUGACGAGGCCCGAGCGUUUGUUACUGAAGCUAUUAUUGCGCGCAUGCCCCGUGAUUAUGUUGCUACUGCCAGCAAGGCCCGCCUUGCCUGGCUGCGGAAGCGCCAUGCGUGCGGUGACCUGAUCAUUGCUUCGUGCGCGACGUGUGUGUGGCUGAUUUAUUUAGGAAAGGGUGUCAAACGGUGGGGGUUUGUCACCGGCGCGUCCGCCGGCGACCCCGUGCUUUGAUUCAGUUGGCGGUUUCAUCUCCUGGCGCACUAGGCGCACAUGUACUGUGGGUGCCUGCUUCUUCCAGCCCCGGCCUGCAUCUGCGCCGUGGCUGGGGGGGGGGAUAAACAUCAGGGCACGUUCUGUUAGCAUCAGCACGCAUCAGGGCGUGACAGCUGUCACGCCAGGGCGUGGGACCGGACAUGGCGUGGGACCGUGCCGGGAAAGCUGUGAAACCCGGGGUCAGAACCAGUGCGGCUGUCGAGUUGUGAGUCAGCACGUUACUAAGCAGGCACAACUCCCGUGUGCCGAUUACCGUAGCAAUGCUCUGUUUGGCCCUAACUGCCCGUAAGAGCUUGUGUGUUUGAGUGAGCUGGGUUUGUGCUGCUAGGUUAUGCGGAGUGAGGAAGUUGCGUUAUCCGCCAGUCUGACGCGCGGAGGCGGGCGGAAUGAGGCGGAGACAGGUUUAUCCGCCCCGGUAGCUCAAGACAAGUCGUCUUGUCUUGAACUAUCUGGUACUACUUGCUGGUUAGUGAUUUCAGAGACAACGACCAUUCUACAAUACUCGUGGAUAGCACGAAGUGCACAGACAGAGCCGCCUCUGUAACUUUGAGGAGACAAGAACCGAGCACCCUUGAUACGCACAGUAGUCUACGCGCUUAAGAGAGCAGUAAGCCACGUAGCACUCAUAAACAUCAGGGCACGUUCUGUUAGCAUCAGCACGCAUCAGGGCGUGACACUGGACCCACAUAUCCCUCCCCCCCCCGCCUCCUUAGGGGCACCAUCAGAUGGGCCACACAUUGCCACCUGCCAUACCUGCAUCAGCACCCCAACUCCUAGUCCCAGCCUGAUUAUACAAUGCACCAUGUGCCAACACUCCAUACAAAUGCUGGAAACACAAACAGCCAACUGCCCCACAGCCACCUGGACCCACAUAUCCCUCCCCCCCCCCCCCCCCGCCUCCUUAGGGGCACCCACAGGUGGGCCAUGCAUUGCCACCUGCCAUACCUGCAUCGGCACCCCAACUCCUAGUCCCAGCCUGAUUAUUCAAUGCACCAUGUGCCAACACUCUAUACAAAUGCUGGAAACACAAACAGCCAACUGCCCCACAGCCACCUGGACCCACAUAUCCCUCCCCCCCCCGCCUCCUUUGGGGCACCAUCAGGUGGGCCAUGCAUUGCCACCUGCCAUACCUGCAUCGGCACCCCAACUCCUAGUCCCAGCCUGAUUAUACAAUGCACCAUGUGCCAGCACUCUAUACAAAUGCUGGAAACACAAACAGCCAACUGCCCCACAGCCACCUGGACCCACAUAUCCCUCCCCCCCCCCCCCUGCCUCCUUAGGGGCACCCACAGGUGGAUGGGCCACGCAUUGCCAUCUGCCAUACCUGCAUUGGCACCCCAACUCCUAGUCCCAGCCUGAUUAUACAAUGCACCAUGUGCCAGCACUCCAUACAAAUGCUGGAAAUACAAACAGCCUACUGCCCCACAGCCACCUGGACCCACA